This 578-nucleotide ribosomal RNA is filed under the name Patellaria quercus. RNAcentral's name for it is "eukaryotic LSU rRNA". The stretch from base 216 to 369 matches the Rfam family "5.8S ribosomal RNA". The record is from RNAcentral. Lineage: Eukaryota; Fungi; Ascomycota; Dothideomycetes; Patellariales; Patellariaceae.
UAACAAGGUUUCCGUAGGUGAACCUGCGGAAGGAUCAUUAAUAGAGUAUGCACGUCCGUGCCAGGCCCACGUGGCCCGGCACUGGUUCGGUGAAACUCCACCCUCUGCGAAGAGAUCUUAUAUACCUUCUGUUCCCUCGGUGGAUUCGUAUCCGCCGAGGGAGAUUUAAACCCUUGCUGAGUAUGUGUCGUCAGAGUAAUUAUCAAAUAAAUUAAAACUUUCAACAACGGAUCUCUUGGUUCCGGCAUCGAUGAAGAACGCAGCGAAAUGCGAUAAGUAAUGUGAAUUGCAGAAUUCAGUGAAUCAUCGAAUCUUUGAACGCACAUUGCGCCCCUUGGUAUUCCGAGGGGCAUGCCUGUUCGAGCGUCAUUACAAACCUCAAGCAUCGCUUGGUGUUGGGUGUUGCCCUCAGCGGGGCACACCUCAAAGCCCUCGGCGGCCCCGUCCCGCUUCAAGCGUCGUGAACGUCUAAAACGCGUCUCGCUUUGGAAGUCCGGGCCGGCGCUUGCCGUGAAAGCCAUAUCAUCUCAAGUUUGACCUCGGAUCAGGUAGGGAUACCCGCUGAACUUAAGCAUAUC